GCGGCUAUAGCUCAGGUGGACAGAGCAGGAGUUUCCUAAACUCUUGGUCGGGGGUUCGAGUCCUCCUAGCCGCACCA
Molecule: transfer RNA, 77 nt
Filed under: bacterium
Lineage: Bacteria
Also listed under: 4 other names
Description: tRNA-Arg
Rfam family: tRNA
About the family: Transfer RNA (tRNA) molecules are approximately 80 nucleotides in length.
Source: RNAcentral